UAAUUUACAAUCUGUACUUACUUUCCACUUUUUCUUUCUUUUUCUCUUUGGAGAAAAAUAUAAAAUUGCGGGUUAGGUCAGGUGUCAUAAGGAGAAACCAGGAAAAUUGCGAUUUUAUUAUUUAUAAUCUUCCUUCUAUUAUCGUCUCUUUCGCUUUACUUUCCCCUCUCUUUCUCUUUCUUUUUCUCUUUCAACGGCAAAAAGAAAAUAACUUUAUAGAUAUGAGAUCGAACAGUUGUGUGGUUGGAUCGAUUUUGAACUACUUUUGCUGUUCUGAUUUCGUGUUGUCUCAGCCCUCUGAUCGAUUGACGCCUUGGCUACGCCUUAUUUAUCUUCCCGAAUAGCACCGCCAGCACCAGGUAUCUUCAGCUGAUCUUCUGUUCUGGACUUAUGUUUUCUCUAAACUCAAGCGCGCUAAUAAUUUUCUUUUUGUGUUAAUUUUUUACCCAAAGUUGACAAUUUCUUUUUCUUAACUAAUUGUAUUCUAUUAAUAUUAUCGUAAGCAAUCCCCCAGGCGCUGCUAAAGUUUGCAUAUCAGUAUAAGAAAAACCAAAAGAAAAAUAACAGCAGAAAAAAAAAAAGAAAAAAAAAAAGCGAGAGCUGAGUUCCGUCGAUGCAUUGCGGUGACACAAGAUGAGCAAUUCCUAUCCCAAAAAUUCACAGGUGAGAGGUAAGUCCCAAGGUUGGGCUGCCUUUGACCUGAACCAGCGUCAGAAAGGUCAUCAGAAACAACCUCAAGUAGUUGUUGACACUGGCAAUACCAAUGGCAAUGAUGAUCCUUUUCCACCUCUUCCAACAACAACCACCUCUCUACGUCCCUGUGGCAAUAAUGCUCUUCCUGCAACUGCUAGGUCUUUCUCAUCUGUGUUCAUACCUUCUGCAGAUUUCCCACCCAUUUCUGACAAUAUUAGUGAUUCUACCUUUAAUGAACUCAAACAACUUCACUCUUGGGCCGAUUCAAGUUUGAUUCAGGAUGUCAUGUACUCUGUCAAUAAUGAUUUUCAUAUGGCAGCAAGUUUCUUAAAUACCAUACUUUCUUCUACUCACAACUCUGUGGGGAAUGGCCGGAUUGAAAAGUAUUUAUCUACCUCCCAUGACCCUCAAUCCGAGAAAGUGCGCAGUGAGUGCUCUUUCUCAGAGAACACCUCUGACCUUGCUGCAGAUAUAGUUGAGCUUAGCUCUACUCUUGAGGAGGCUCUCACACAUAAUCACAAUGAAUUGGCGGCUGCUUGUGGGCAGGGCGAGGCACUUUCUCAGGCUGCUGCAAACAUGAACCUAAUUCUGGGCCACUUGAAAUCCAUUCCUGUUGAGCCCGAGUGGGAAGAGCAUAAUCUUUACUUAAAGCAUCGUAGAAAUGCCCUAAAGAUCACGAGGUUGGCAUCUCGACACUCCAGGGCAGCCACUAAUGCCUUUUUGAGAGGGGACCAUUUUUCUGCCCAGCAGGAGUCACUGAAGGCUCGUAAGGAAUGGUUGGAUGCUGAAAGACUAAAUGCUGAGGCAGCUAAGGAAAUUUUAAAUAUAACAAAUAGUGAAAAUAAUCCUUGGAAAUUGGACCUACAUGGUCUUCAUGCAGCAGAGGCUGUUCAAGCCUUGCAAGAACAUCUGAAAAAAAUUGAGACCCAGCUUUCAGUGAAGCGGCUUGUAUCUCCAGGUAGAGUUAAGACAAAGAAUGGAAUUAUAUGUUCAUUAAUUGAGCCCUUUAGUAACAUGGAUGUGGAGAACUUGGAUAUACAACGUGUGGGAUUUAGGCAGAGACCAGCAUCAUUACUAGUCAUAACAGGUAUUUUUCUUUGUCUUGUGCACAUGAGAUAUUUUUUAUACAUAAUUUCUGUGGCAAGCAGUAUUGUUUUUGGUGCAAGGCACGAGGACCCAAGGUUGAUGGCCUGAUGCACUUCUAUCAUCUAGACAAGGUGAUUUAUUUGGUGGCAUUUGCUUAAUGCUUAUCCUCGGGGCUUUAGGUGCAAAAUGGUGUAGGCAAUCACAGUCGAGGUCAAGCUUCCCUCCCAACCGCUAUAAAAAGUUUUCUCAUUGAAAAUAGAUAUCACUUUGAUGAGGCAAGGCCAGGUGUAAUUAGUGUCUUCCCCAAAUUCCGGCAUAGGUAAAUGGUCAGUUUACUAAAACUUGUGGGUGAGGAAUCACAUCAUUGCAUCUUGUUUUCUGGUUAAUUAAUUUCAGUCAUUUGAGAGAUCGUAUCGCCAUUGUAAGCCCAAUCAUUGAGUUCAGUUAGCUGGGAGGAUCUUGUUUGGCAUUAUGAACUGUAUGUAUUUGUGCUUUUGGAAUGAGCCGGGAUUUUUUACAUGGAAUGCAAGAAUUCAUGUUCUAGAUUCUCUUGUUAUACCUUGUGUCAUUGUAACUUGAUUAUUUUGGAUGAACCUAAUUUUCUGAGGAGCUACAGCAUAUUUUGAUUCGA
Ricinus communis (castor bean) is the source of this 2410-nucleotide RNA transcript. RefSeq lists it as uncharacterized. NCBI's taxonomy places the organism in Eukaryota, Viridiplantae, Streptophyta, Magnoliopsida, Malpighiales, Euphorbiaceae. The record is from RefSeq and is a predicted model, not a curated record. The transcript is spliced from 4 exons.